This 501-nucleotide unclassified non-coding RNA is filed under the name uncultured Glomus. RNAcentral describes it as "SSU rRNA". It matches the Rfam family "Eukaryotic small subunit ribosomal RNA", at positions 591 to 1092 of the family's 1831-position model. Lineage: Eukaryota; Fungi; Glomeromycota; Glomeromycetes; Glomerales; Glomeraceae. The record is from RNAcentral.
CCAAUAGCGUAUAUUAAAGUUGUUGCAGUUAAAAAGCUCGUAGUUGAAUUUCGGAAUCAAUAUUUCGGUCAUGCCGUUGGUAUGCACUGUUAUCAUUGAUUUCUCACCUUCUAAAGAACCGUAAUGCCAUUAAUUUGGUGUUACGGGGAAUUAGGACUGUUACCUUGAAAAAAUUAGAGUGUUUAAAGCAGGCUCACGCUUGAAUACAUUAGCAUGGACUAAUGAAAUAGGACAUCCGAUUCUAUUUUGUUGGUUUCUAGGAUAGAUGUAAUGAUUAAUAGGGUUAGUUGGGGGGAUUAGUAUUCAAUUGUCAGAGGUGAAAUUCUUGGAUUUAUUGAAGACUAACUACUGUGAAAGCAUUUGCCAAGGAUGUUUUCAUUAAUCAAGAACGAAAGUUAGGGGAUCGAAGACGAUCAGAUACCGUCGUAGUCUUAACCAUAAACUAUGCCGACUAGGGAUCGGAUGAUGUUAAUUUUUUAAUGACUCAUUCGGCGCCUUACG